AGUGAACGCUGGCGGUAGGCCUAACACAUGCGAGUCGAACGGCAGCACAGUAAGAGCUUGCUCUUACGGGUGGCGAGUGGCGGACGGGUGAGGAAUACAUCGGAAUCUACUUUUUCGUGGGGGAUAACGUAGGGAAACUUACGCUAAUACCGCAUACGACCUACGGGUGAAAGCAGGGGAUCUUCGGACCUUGCGCGAUUGAAUGAGCCGAUGUCGGAUUAGCUAGUUGGCGGGGUAAAGGCCCACCAAGGCGACGAUCCGUAGCUGGUCUGAGGGGAUGAUCAGCCACACUGGAACUGAGACACGGUCCAGACUCCUACGGGAGGCAGCAGUGGGGAAUAUUGGACAAUGGGCGCAAGCCUGAUCCAGCCAUACCGCGUGGGUGAAGAAGGCCUUCGGGUUGUAAAGCCCUUUUGUUGGGAAAGAAAAGCAGCAGGUUAAUACCCCGCUGUUCUGACGGUACCCAAAGAAUAAGCACCGGCUAACUUCGUG
This 492-nucleotide ribosomal RNA is filed under the name uncultured bacterium. Its description in RNAcentral is "partial 16S ribosomal RNA". It matches the Rfam family "Bacterial small subunit ribosomal RNA", at positions 29 to 507 of the family's 1533-position model. The record is from RNAcentral.